This 888-nucleotide long non-coding RNA is filed under the name Marmota monax (woodchuck). Lineage: Eukaryota; Metazoa; Chordata; Mammalia; Rodentia; Sciuridae. The record is from RNAcentral.
UUUCUUUCUAAGUAUGAAUUCAGAAUCUCCUAAGCAGCAAGAAUCCAAUAGGUUAGUGGUUGUCAGAUGUCAACCUUGGGUAAGAUUUUCUGGUCCCAAUGUUCUUGUCUCCUGGGUAGAUAUUGACAAUAACCAUAUGGAGGAAACACUGCUCCAAGGUUUUUUAAUAGUUAGGAAGUAGCAAUUCCCAUCUUGCAUUGCCCACAUAAUUUUCUAUUCCAACUCCCCUUACCUCCAAAGUUAUUUUUUUUCCAAAGUUCCUCACAAUUAAAAACUUCAGAACAUAAAUUUCAGUCUCCAAGGGUUUAUUAAGUAUAAUCUGUAUCCUCAGCAUUGAGCAAAAUUGGAUAGAGCAGUCUUGAGACACGAGUCCUUCUCUCAACUUUACUUGGAGAUAAUAUCACUCUUUCAGUGUUAUAAAGAUAAGGAAACAGGCUUGCAAAGUUAAGUAACUUGUCUAACAUCAAACAGCUAGCAAUGGCAGAGUUGGGAAUCCAAGGCAGAUUUUCUUAACUCUAAAUCCUGGGUUCUUAAUGAAACUACUCUACAGUAACAACAAUAGAAUUUAAAGUAGACAAACAGUAGUUGGAAUUAGAGUAGUCAGGAGAGAUUUAAUGGAGGUGCUGUAGUUUGAACCUUGAAUGUCACCCAAAGGUCUACAAAGGCUUGGCCUCCUGUCCAUGGUGCUAUCAGGAGGUGGUGAAAACAUCAGCAGAUGGGGCCUAGUAGAAGAAAGUUAUAGGAUGUCCUCAGGAAGGGUAUUGGGGCCUGGCCCCUCCUCUUCCAUUGCUUCUUUGUUUUCUGGUUAUCCUGAGAUGAGCAGCUUCCUUUACCAUGGGCUCCUUCCAUGAUGUGUGGCCUCACUCCAGGCCCAAACCAUGAAACUUC